GGCUUAAUACAUGCAAGUCGAGGGGGCAGCAAUGUCACCGGCGAACGGGUGCGUAACGCGUAUGCAACCUACCCACAUCAGGGGGAUAGCCCUAGGAAACUGGGAUUAACACCGCAUAAUAUAUGACAAGGCAUCUUGUUAUAUUGAAAUAUUUAUAGGAUGUAGAUGGGCAUGCGUAGGAUUAGCUAGUUGGUAAGGUAACGGCUUACCAAGGCUACGAUCCUUAGGGGCUCUGAGAGGAGUAUCCCCCACACUGGCACUGAGAUACGGGCCAGACUCCUACGGGAGGCAGCAGUAGGGAAUAUUGGGCAAUGGAGGCAACUCUGACCCAGCCAUGCCGCGUGCAGGAAGACGGUCCUCUGGAUUGUAAACUGC
Molecule: ribosomal RNA, 375 nt
Filed under: uncultured organism
Description: bacterial SSU rRNA
Rfam family: Bacterial small subunit ribosomal RNA
Source: RNAcentral